RNAcentral lists this ribosomal RNA (357 nucleotides) under uncultured bacterium. RNAcentral describes it as "partial 16S ribosomal RNA". It matches the Rfam family "Bacterial small subunit ribosomal RNA", at positions 338 to 693 of the family's 1533-position model. The record is from RNAcentral.
CCUACGGGAGGCAGCAGUGAGGAAUAUUGGUCAAUGGGAGAGAUCCUGAACCAGCCAAGCCGCGUGAGGGAAGACGGCCCUAUGGGUUGUAAACCUCUGUUGUCGGAGAACAAAAACAGGGACGGGUCCCUGACUGCGUGUAUCCGAAGAAAAAGCAUCGGCUAACUCCGUGCCAGCAGCCGCGGUAAUACGGAGGAUGCGAGCGUUAUCCGGAUUUAUUGGGUUUAAAGGGUGCGUAGGCGGUCCGUUAAGUCAGCGGUAAAGUUGCGGGGCACAACCCUGUCGAGCCGUUGAAACUGGCAGACUACAGUUGGCGAGAAUUACGCGGAAUGCGCGGUGUAGCGGUGAAAGGCAUAG